AGAGUUUGAUCCUGGCUCAGGAUGAACGCUAGCGACAGGCUUAACACAUGCAAGUCGAGGGGCAGCGGGGUAGUGCUUGCACUACUGCCGGCGACCGGCGCACGGGUGAGUAACACGUAUGGAACCUGCCCGCAGCAGGGGGAUAAGCGGAAGAAAUUCCGUCUAAUACCGCGUAACAACGUUGGGAGGCAUCUCCCGAUGUUUAAAGAUUUAUCGGCUGCGGAUGGCCAUGCGGCGCAUUAGCUAGUCGGCGGGGUAACGGCCCACCGAGGCGACGAUGCGUAGGGGUUCUGAGAGGAAGGUCCCCCACACUGGUACUGAGACACGGACCAGACUCCUACGGGAGGCAGCAGUGAGGAAUAUUGGUCAAUGGCCGAGAGGCUGAACCAGCCAAGUCGCGUGAGGGAAGACGGCCCUACGGGUUGUAAACCUCUUUUGCCGGGGAGCAAAGAGCGGGACGCGUCCCGCCUCGAGAGUACCCGGAGAAAAAGCAUCGGCUAACUCCGUGCCAGCAGCCGCGGUAAUACGGAGGAUGCGAGCGUUAUCCGGAUUUAUUGGGUUUAAAGGGUGCGCAGGCGGGAUGCCAAGUCAGCGGUCAAAUUUCGGGGCUCAACCCCGACCUGCCGUUGAAACUGGUGUCCUAGAGUGGGCGAGAAGUAUGCGGAAUGCGUGGUGUAGCGGUGAAAUGC
Molecule: ribosomal RNA, 689 nt
Filed under: uncultured bacterium
Lineage: Bacteria
Description: bacterial SSU rRNA
Rfam family: Bacterial small subunit ribosomal RNA
Source: RNAcentral